RNAcentral lists this ribosomal RNA (912 nucleotides) under uncultured crenarchaeote. RNAcentral describes it as "bacterial SSU rRNA". It matches the Rfam family "Archaeal small subunit ribosomal RNA", at positions 1 to 922 of the family's 1478-position model. Lineage: Archaea; Thermoproteati; Thermoproteota. The record is from RNAcentral.
UUCCGGUUGAUCCUGCCGGACCCGACUGCUAUCAGAGUGGGAUUAAGCCAUGCGAGUCAACGUAGCAAUACGUGGCGCACGGCUCAGUAACACGUAGUCAACAUGCCCAGAGGACGUGGAUAACCUCGGGAAACUGAGUCUAAACCGCGAUGAGUCAGGAUUCCUGGAAUGGUUCCUGAUUGAAAUCUAUAUGGCCUCUGGAUUGGACUGCGGCCGAUCAGGCUGUUGGUGAGGUAAUGGCCCACCAAACCUGUAACCGGUACGGGCUCUGAGAGGAGGAGCCCGGAGAUGGGCACUGAGACAAGGGCCCAGGCCCUAUGGGGCGCAGCAGGCGCGAAACCUCUGCAAUAGGCGAAAGCCUGACAGGGUUACUCUGAGUGGCUUUCGUUAAGAAAGUCUUUUGGCACCUCUAAAAAUGGUGCAGAAUAAGGGGUGGGCAAGUCUGGUGUCAGCCGCCGCGGUAAUACCAGCACCCCGAGUGGUCGGGACGAUUAUUGGGCCUAAAGCAUCCGUAGCCGGUUCUGCAAGUCCUCCGUUAAAUCCAACUGCUUAACAGGUGGGCUGCGGAGGAUACUACAGAGCUAGGAGGCAGGAGAGGCAAGCGGUACUCAGUGGGUAGGGGUAAAAUCCGUUGAUCCAUUGAAGACCACCAGUGGCGAAGGCGGCUUGCCAGAAUGCGCUCGACGGUGAGGGAUGAAAGCUGGGGGAGCAAACGGGAUUAGAUACCCGGGUAGUCCCAGCCGUAAACGAUGCAGACUCGGUGAUGGGUUGGCUUCGCGCUAACCCAGUGCCGCAGGGAAGCCGUUAAGUCUGCCGCCUGGGUAGUACGGUCGCAAGACUGAAACUUAAAGGAAUUGGCGGGGGAGCACCACAAGGGGUGAAGCCUGCGGUUCAAUUGGAGUCAACGCCGGA